This 292-nucleotide ribosomal RNA is filed under the name uncultured bacterium. RNAcentral describes it as "partial 16S ribosomal RNA". It matches the Rfam family "Bacterial small subunit ribosomal RNA", at positions 505 to 796 of the family's 1533-position model. The record is from RNAcentral.
GUGCCAGCAGCCGCGGUAAUACAGAGGUGCCAAGCGUUAGGCGGAAUCACUGGGCUUAAAGCGCGUGUAGGUGGAUGGGUAAGUACCUUGUGAAAUCCCACGGCUCAACCGUGGAACUGCUGGGUAUACUGCUUGUCUUGAGGCACUCAGGGGCAGCUGGAACAAAUGGUGGAGCGGUGAAAUGCGUAGAUAUCAUUUGGAACGCCAAAGGCGAAAGCAGGCUGCUGGGAGUGAUCUGACACUGAGACGCGAAAGCCAGGGGAGCAAACGGGAUUAGAAACCCCCGUAGUCC